RNAcentral lists this ribosomal RNA (340 nucleotides) under uncultured bacterium. Its description in RNAcentral is "bacterial SSU rRNA". It matches the Rfam family "Bacterial small subunit ribosomal RNA", at positions 43 to 367 of the family's 1533-position model. The record is from RNAcentral.
GGCCGCGGGAAUUCGAUUCAGGCCUAACACAUGCAAGUCGAACGGAAAGACCAAGCUUGCAGGGUACUCGAGUGGCGAACGGGUGAGUAACACGUGGGUGAUCUGCCCUGCACUUCGGGAUAAGCCUGGGAAACUGGGUCUAAUACCGGAUAGGAGCCAUUUUUAGUGUGAUGGUUGGAAAGUUUUUUCGGUGUAGGAUGAGCUCGCGGCCUAUCAGCUUGUUGGUGGGGUAAUGGCCUACCAAGGCGGCGACGGGUAGCCGGCCUGAGAGGGUGGACGGCCACAUUGGGACUGAGAUACGGCCCAGACUCCUACGGGAGGCAGCAGUGGGGAAUAUUGC